GUAAUUUUUUAUGCUGCAGAUAACUAAUACAUCUAAGUGUAAUUCCUAGCGCAAAGCUUCCCAGCAGGAGAACCAAGACACACUGGUAUGCGGAAUAUGGAUUACCGACGAGCCCAGGAGAUUGGUCCUUCAACCCCUGGGGCUGCCAGGAGCAGGUGCUCACAUUUCUGAGUGCAGAUUCUAUAGUCUUCGUUCAAGCAGCAGACCUCCUAUAGCUGAACUUCCUGGACAUUUGAGAGCCAAGCUCCAAGACAGUUUAUAUCCAGUUUCAUGUGAGUAUCUAUUUCUGGAUUGGAAAUAGACCCACAUUUACACCUAAGCACAAUUUUCUUUUCUUUUUUGUUUUUGCAGGGGAAGAUUCACCCUAAACUAACAUGUGUUGCCAACCUUGCUCCUUUUUCCUUCCUUUCCCCACUAAAGCCCCAAUACAUAGUUGUGUAGAGUUGUAAGUUCUUCUCGUUCUUCUGUGUGAGAUGCCGCCACAGCAUGGCUACUGA
This 497-nucleotide long non-coding RNA is filed under the name Equus caballus (horse). RNAcentral's name for it is "lncRNA (ENSECAG00000047951.1)". Lineage: Eukaryota; Metazoa; Chordata; Mammalia; Perissodactyla; Equidae. The record is from RNAcentral.